This 343-nucleotide ribosomal RNA is filed under the name uncultured bacterium. RNAcentral describes it as "bacterial SSU rRNA". It matches the Rfam family "Bacterial small subunit ribosomal RNA", at positions 330 to 671 of the family's 1533-position model. The record is from RNAcentral.
UCCAGACUCCUACGGGAGGCAGCAGUGAGGAAUAUUGGUCAAUGGCCGAGAGGCUGAACCAGCCAAAUCGCGUGAGGGAUGACGGUCCUAUGGAUUGUAAACCUCUUUUGUCAGGGAGCAAAGGGCGCCACGUGUGGCGCUUUGCGAGUACCUGAAGAAAAAGCAUCGGCUAACUCCGUGCCAGCAGCCGCGGUAAUACGGAGGAUGCGAGCGUUAUCCGGAUUUAUUGGGUUUAAAGGGUGCGCAGGCGGAAUGUCAAGUCAGCGGUAAAAUUUCGGGGCUCAACCCCGUGGUGUCGUUGAAACUGGCGGUGUUGAGUGCGCGAGAAGUAUGCGGAAUGCGU